This 822-nucleotide ribosomal RNA is filed under the name Enterococcus faecium. RNAcentral's name for it is "bacterial SSU rRNA". It matches the Rfam family "Bacterial small subunit ribosomal RNA", at positions 1 to 793 of the family's 1533-position model. Lineage: Bacteria; Bacillati; Bacillota; Bacilli; Lactobacillales; Enterococcaceae. The record is from RNAcentral.
UUUUUAUGAGAGUUUGAUCCUGGCUCAGGACGAACGCUGGCGGCGUGCCUAAUACAUGCAAGUCGAACGCUUCUUUUUCCACCGGAGCUUGCUCCACCGGAAAAAGAGGAGUGGCGAACGGGUGAGUAACACGUGGGUAACCUGCCCAUCAGAAGGGGAUAACACUUGGAAACAGGUGCUAAUACCGUAUAACAAUCGAAACCGCAUGGUUUUGAUUUGAAAGGCGCUUUCGGGUGUCGCUGAUGGAUGGACCCGCGGUGCAUUAGCUAGUUGGUGAGGUAACGGCUCACCAAGGCCACGAUGCAUAGCCGACCUGAGAGGGUGAUCGGCCACAUUGGGACUGAGACACGGCCCAAACUCCUACGGGAGGCAGCAGUAGGGAAUCUUCGGCAAUGGACGAAAGUCUGACCGAGCAACGCCGCGUGAGUGAAGAAGGUUUUCGGAUCGUAAAACUCUGUUGUUAGAGAAGAACAAGGAUGAGAGUAACUGUUCAUCCCUUGACGGUAUCUAACCAGAAAGCCACGGCUAACUACGUGCCAGCAGCCGCGGUAAUACGUAGGUGGCAAGCGUUGUCCGGAUUUAUUGGGCGUAAAGCGAGCGCAAGCGGUUUCUUAAGUCUGAUGUGAAAGCCCCCGGCUCAACCGGGGAGGGUCAUUGGAAACUGGGAGACUUGAGUGCAGAAGAGGAGAGUGGAAUUCCAUGUGUAGCGGUGAAAUGCGUAGAUAUAUGGAGGAACACCAGUGGCGAAGGCGGCUCUCUGGUCUGUAACUGACGCUGAGGCUCGAAAGCGUGGGGAGCAAACAGGAUUAGAUACCCUGGUAG